RNAcentral lists this ribosomal RNA (570 nucleotides) under Celeribacter sp. RNAcentral's name for it is "bacterial SSU rRNA". It matches the Rfam family "Bacterial small subunit ribosomal RNA", at positions 107 to 713 of the family's 1533-position model. Lineage: Bacteria; Pseudomonadati; Pseudomonadota; Alphaproteobacteria; Rhodobacterales; Roseobacteraceae. The record is from RNAcentral.
UUAGUAACGCGUGGGAACGUACCCUUCACUACGGAAUAGUCCCGGGAAACUGGGUUUAAUACCGUAUACGCCCUUCGGGGGAAAGAAUUUCGGUGAGGGAUCGGCCCGCGUUAGAUUAGUUAGUUGGUGGGGUAAUGGCCUACCAAGACUACGAUCUAUAGCUGGUUUGAGAGGAUGAUCAGCAACACUGGGACUGAGACACGGCCCAGACUCCUACGGGAGGCAGCAGUGGGGAAUCUUAGACAAUGGGGGCAACCCUGAUCUAGCGAUGCCGCGUGAGUGAUGAAGGCCUUAGGGUCGUAAAGCUCUUUCGCCUGUGAUGAUAAUGACAGUAGCAGGUAAAGAAACCCCGGCUAACUCCGUGCCAGCAGCCGCGGUAAUACGGAGGGGGUUAGCGUUGUUCGGAAUUACUGGGCGUAAAGCGCACGUAGGCGGAUUAGUCAGUCAGAGGUGAAAUCCCAGGGCUCAACCCUGGAACUGCCUUUGAUACUGCUAGUCUUGAGUUCGAGAGAGGUAAGUGGAAUUCCGAGUGUAGAGGUGAAAUUCGUAGAUAUUCGGAGGAACACCAGU